This 521-nucleotide ribosomal RNA is filed under the name Scomberomorus niphonius (Japanese Spanish mackerel). Its description in RNAcentral is "partial 12S rRNA". It matches the Rfam family "Bacterial small subunit ribosomal RNA", at positions 269 to 991 of the family's 1533-position model. Lineage: Eukaryota; Metazoa; Chordata; Actinopteri; Scombriformes; Scombridae. The record is from RNAcentral.
CUGCCCGAAAACAAGGAGCUGGUAUCAGGCACACCCAUAUAUUAAGCCCAUGACGCCUUGCUUAGCCACACCCUCAAGGGAACUCAGCAGUGAUAAACCUUAAGCCAUAAGCGCAAGCUUGACUUAGUUAAGGCUAAGAGGGCCGGUAAAACUCGUGCCAGCCACCGCGGUUAUACGAGAGGCCCAAGUUGACAACCACCGGCGUAAAGCGUGGUUAAGAUAUAAUCAAAACUAAAGCCGAAUGUCUUCAAGGCAGUCAUACGCUUCCGAAGACACGAAGCCCCACCACGAAAGUGGCUUUAACAAUCCCUGAACCCACGAAAGCUAGGACACAAACUGGGAUUAGAUACCCCACUAUGCCUAGCCGUAAACAUUGAUAGAAUUGUACACCCUCUAUCCGCCUGGGUACUACGAGCAUUAGCUUAAAACCCAAAGGACUUGGCGGUACUUUAGAUCCCCCUAGAGGAGCCUGUUCUGUAACCGAUAACCCCCGUUCAACCUCACCCUCCCUUGUUUUUCCC